RNAcentral lists this transfer RNA (75 nucleotides) under Loxodonta africana (African savanna elephant). RNAcentral describes it as "tRNA-Val (TAC) (tRNA-Val-TAC-22-1)". It matches the Rfam family "tRNA". Rfam says of the family: Transfer RNA (tRNA) molecules are approximately 80 nucleotides in length. Their secondary structure includes four short double-helical elements and three loops (D, anti-codon, and T loops). Further hydrogen bonds mediate the characteristic L-shaped molecular structure. tRNAs have two regions of fundamental functional importance: the anti-codon, which is responsible for specific mRNA codon recognition, and the 3' end, to which the tRNAs corresponding amino acid is attached (by aminoacyl-tRNA synthetases). tRNAs cope with the degeneracy of the genetic code in two manners: having more than one tRNA (with a specific anti-codon) for a particular amino acid; and 'wobble' base-pairing, i.e. permitting non-standard base-pairing at the 3rd anti-codon position. Lineage: Eukaryota; Metazoa; Chordata; Mammalia; Proboscidea; Elephantidae. The record is from RNAcentral.
GCAAUUCCAUAGUGUAGCGGUUAUCACGUCUGCUUUACACGCAGAAGAUCCUGGGUUCAAGCCCCAGUAGAACCA